RNAcentral lists this ribosomal RNA (253 nucleotides) under uncultured bacterium. RNAcentral describes it as "partial 16S ribosomal RNA". It matches the Rfam family "Bacterial small subunit ribosomal RNA", at positions 524 to 776 of the family's 1533-position model. The record is from RNAcentral.
UACGGGGGGGGCAAGCGUUGUUCGGAAUUACUGGGCGUAAAGGGCUCGUAGGCGGCCAACUAAGUCAUACGUGAAAUCCCUCGGCUUAACCGGGGAACUGCGUCUGAUACUGGAUGGCUUGAGUUCGGGAGAGGGAUGCGGAAUUCCUGGUGUAGCGGUGAAAUGCGCAGAUAUCAGGAGGAACACCGGUGGCGAAGGCGGUUCUCUGGGCAUGUCCUGACGCUGAGGAGCGAAAGUGUGGGGAGCGAACAGG